RNAcentral lists this transfer RNA (67 nucleotides) under Anobiinae sp. BMNH 1274383. RNAcentral describes it as "Anobiidae sp. BMNH 1274383 tRNA-Ser". The record is from RNAcentral. Lineage: Eukaryota; Metazoa; Arthropoda; Insecta; Coleoptera; Ptinidae.
AAUUAGUGAUCUUGAACAAGUUUAUAUUUUGAAAAUAUAAGAUAAAAGUAAAUACUUUUACUAAUUU